This 366-nucleotide ribosomal RNA is filed under the name uncultured bacterium. Its description in RNAcentral is "bacterial SSU rRNA". It matches the Rfam family "Bacterial small subunit ribosomal RNA", at positions 527 to 896 of the family's 1533-position model. The record is from RNAcentral.
GGAGGAUGCAAGCGUUAUCCGGAUUUAUUAGGUUUAAAGGGUGCGUAGGCGGGACUUUAAGUCAGUGGUGAAAGGCAGUAGCUUAACUAUUGUAAGCCAUUGAUACUGGGGUUCUUGAGUUAGGUAGAGGUAGGCGGAAUGUGUUGUGUAGCGGUGAAAUGCUUAGAUAUAACACAGAACACCGAUUGCGAAGGCAGCUUACUAUGCCUAUACUGACGCUGAUGCACGAAAGCGUGGGGAUCAAACAGGAUUAGAUACCCUGGUAGUCCACGCUGUAAACGAUGAUCACUCGUUGUUGGCGAUAUACAGUCAGCGGCUAAGCGAAAGCGAUAAGUGAUCCACCUGGGGAGUACGUCGGCAACGAUG